This 1617-nucleotide long non-coding RNA is filed under the name Gossypium barbadense (sea-island cotton). Its description in RNAcentral is "long non-coding RNA (GBAR_LNC008787)". Lineage: Eukaryota; Viridiplantae; Streptophyta; Magnoliopsida; Malvales; Malvaceae. The record is from RNAcentral.
GAUCACUUGGCCAUUUCACAAAAGAGGCCAUUCGACCGAUUUGAAUACACUGCCGAUUUCAAAUCCCUUCCACAACUCCGAUUUCGGUGAGGGAAAUAGGGACUUUGAUGGCCGGUUCGCGAAGGUAUGCCCCUAACUUCCCUCUCAGUUGACUCGUGGGCUUCACCGACGCUAAACGCGCCUCCACCCCGUCGCGGUUCUAACCAGAUCCACAAGGAUCCGUUGACCAAAUUGUCACCAAAAAAGGAAAAUAAACCCUCUUUCUUUGGAUUCGUCGAAUGGAUUCAAAAUAAAGUAAAAAAAGAACAAGAACAAAAAAAUAAUUUGCGAAUUGCCUUGAAAUCUUUGCUUUUUCUAUUUGAUUGUUUCGUAUGCGUAGUAUAUCUAAAAAAAUACAUGGCUUAUUACAUGGCUUUUAUAGCCGAAAACAGAGAAAAACGAAAAAAGAAAAUACAAAUUUCUUGUUUUUUCUCUCUGCUCUGUUGUCCUUUUUGCGUUUGUGCGCAGGUAUGGAGCUCGGUGGUCGUACGGUGCUGCUCUAGCGGUGAGGACGAAGGGUAUAGAGCCAGGCUGUGAGCGCACGGAGACCGUACAUGGGAGUGUUGGCUCCGGCGCACCUAGGAAACCUAGGGUUUCCGAAAGUGUUUUGAUUUUGGGCCAUUUGGGCUUUGUAUUUCUGGACUAGGUUUAAUAUUAGUUGUUGGGCCAUUGAAAUUUGGCAGAUUUGGGCUGAUGUAAUAAAGGGACUUGGACUAUUAAAAUUUGGUUUAGUUUAGUUGUUUUUUAAUUGGGCUGGUUAAUAGUUUGGGCCUGGGCAAAUUUGGGUCCUUACAACAUUGUUGCAAAGUUUAAAAGGUCCUCCCCUCGUCAUGAUGAGCUGCAAAAGUUUUGUCUUUCAGAAUGAAGCAUGUAUUUCCAAACACAUGGAAAUACUUCAUAGUAAACCUCUUUUCCUUCCACAACUCAUAUGAAGUCACAUAAGUUUUUGGUCUAAUCAUCAAUCUAUUGAUCAUAUGAGUAGUAGUGUUCAUUGUCUCAGCUCAAAAUCGAUGUGAGAUGCUCUUUCUGUUGAGCUAUUUCUUGCAUAGUCUUGUUCUUAAUCUCCACUACAUUAUGUUGGCGAGGUGUCUUUGAUGCAAAAAAUUCAUGUCUUAUCCCAUCUUUAUCACAUAAUUUGACAAAAUUCUUAUUUUGAAUCUCACGCCUAUGAUCAUUUCGCAUCUUCCUUCCAUGCCAAUGGUCUUUCCUUUUUCAUUCAUCAAUCUCUUACACAAUCUUUUAAACUCAUCAAAUGCAUCUGAUUUUUCUCUAAGAAACGUUACCCAUGUAUCCUUGGAGUAGUCAUAAACACAAACAAGGACAUACUCUUUCUUCCAAGAUUUUCUGUUUGCAUAGGGCCAAAUAGAAAAAUGUGCAAGAGCUUGAGUGGUGCUCUAGUUUGAAUAUUAGCCAAGAUAGCAUCGGAGAGGAACUCAACUAUGCAAGUGUCUGAAAAGAGCCCAGAGGAGCUAGCAGCUGUUGUUGAGAUUGCUCGAGUAACAAAUUAUUCAUUUAUGUUAGAAUAAUAUAGUUUGGUUGUGUUUUAUUCACCAAAAGAAAUCUAAUAAUGUACAAUAG